GUAUGAGGACUAAGACAGCAGGACGACUAUGGACAGAAAACGGUUUUCUAGGUUUGCACAGGGCAGCCUCCUGCUCUCGGUAGUUGACAAGCCAGUGGAGGCUUCACAGCUGACUUUGAGGCCGUUUGCACAGAAGCCUGGAAGUCUGGAAGCUGCACCCAGUGUGUCAUUCAUCUGGGAGGUACCACAACCCUACUCCAAAGUGAAAGUACUACCUGCCACCUCUGCCUCAGCUUACUCUCAUGUGGACUCAUAAGAAUUCAAAGAGCCUUUACUCUCCGUGCACCCUAGGAAGACAGCAGUGCGCAGUCUUGAGGAGGUGAAGGAUUCAGACACCAGGAUUUCACGCAGCUCAGGUCGGCCUCCAAGGAUGGUGCAGCCGAAGGCCACACUGAACUCUGACCCUCCUGUCCUGCUCACCAGGUGCUACAACUGCUGUCAUGCGUCACCGACUCCAGCUUGAACUCAGCCGACCGAGGUGAUGCACAUCUUUAAUCCCAGCACCCAGUGGGCAGAGGCAGGAGUAUCUCUAGUUCAAAGCCAGCUUGCCCUAUCUACAUGGUGAGUUUCAGGACAGCCGAGGCUAUGUAGGGAGACCCUGUCUCAAAGAGCCAACAACAGAAACUUAAACUUGAGGACAGCAUUGUAAUGGCCCAAGUUCAGAAUAUGGUUUUUAAAUAAAAACUGUUUGUACAGAAUUUGCAUUUUUAUGGAAGUGUUUGUGUUGGUGUGUGCACAUG
Long non-coding RNA from Meriones unguiculatus (Mongolian gerbil), 740 nucleotides. RefSeq lists it as uncharacterized. NCBI's taxonomy places the organism in Eukaryota, Metazoa, Chordata, Mammalia, Rodentia, Muridae. The record is from RefSeq and is a predicted model, not a curated record. The transcript has 3 exons.